This 1419-nucleotide long non-coding RNA is filed under the name Gallus gallus (chicken). The record is from RNAcentral. Lineage: Eukaryota; Metazoa; Chordata; Aves; Galliformes; Phasianidae.
UAUAUAUUUGCUUUUAAAGCCAUAGAAAUCAGUUAUCCCAGUUUUUUUUUUCCUAUAAAAGACCCAUUUUUCCAAAGCUUUAUGCACAAACAUUUUUAAUUAGAAUAUAAUGGCAGAAUGAAAAUAAUGAUAUUCUGUAACUCUUAAAUAUAAAAUGAAGUCAACGACUCAAAAAAGUUAUUAUUUGCUGCAGUGAGUUCGAAGGGAAACCUCAGAUAAUAUAUAUCUAUAGUUACAGAUAUAAAAUAGGAUGGUGGGACAUUUUUAGUGCUCGACGGGGAGAAAUUACGAUAUGGGGGUCAAUAUGAAUUGUAAUGAUAGUAGCAAUGUCUAACAUUUGAAAUGCAUCCAUGCUCCUUUGUAUAAUCAUACACUAGAGUCAAUUAUAUUUAUUCUUCACAUCUGUUAACUGCUAUUGCAAAGGAGAAAUGCUAUUGUCUUAAAUUUCCAAGAGAUACACAGAGCAAUUUCUUUUUCCGGGGAUGCAGUGGUGUGCAAACCAUUUUAAGAUCUAAAUUCUUCUCGUCGGAUACAAAAAACAGGAGAAGCUCCUUCAGAUAUGUCACUAAUUUCUGUAAGGUGGUGACGUUGGGAACGCUGGCACUUUCCAUUUAGGCAACAGUUCUUCAUUCCUGCAAUCUGGCUCAGAGCUGCUGCGCCAUGGGAGUCUAAAGCAGCAGGCAGGAUUUCUUUUUAGGCUUCUUCUUUUCCACUGGUGUUUUUCUAUUUAUCUGUCUGACCAGGUCAUAAAAGAUCUCAUUAACAUUGAUUUUAGACUUUGCAGACGAUUCUAGAAAGGCACAGUUACACCACUGUCUUGCUAAGUUCUGACCCUGUUCUUUGCCGACUACGCGUUCUUCCUCCAGGUCACAUUUAUUGCCAACCAGAAUCAUCGGAACAUCUUCAGUGUCCUUCACCCGUAAGAUCUGUUCCCGCAGGUCCUGUAGGUCGUUAAACGUGGACUGUGCUGUUAUUGAAUAUACUAGUGCAAACCCUUGGCCGUUCUUCAUAUAGAGAUCCCUCAUUGCUGUAAAUUGCUCUGUCCCUGCUGUAUCCAGGAUUUCAAGCAUACACUGUUGACAGUCUACUUCCACUUGCUUUCUGUAUGAAUCUUCUAUUGUUGGGUCAUAUUUUUCAACAAAAAUUCCCUGAACAAACUGUACAGUCAAGGCAGACUUGCCCACACCUCCGGAGCCAAGGACCACUAGCUUGUACUCACGCAUGGCGCGGGCUGCUCAGGUCCCAGCAACCUUGGCAUACAAGAUCUCUCAUCAGUGUUAACAGCACUACUGAAGGGUUUUCCAGGCUCCUUACGAGGCCACCUCCGCUCCGCUCCGCUCGGGGUUCGGCCGCUGUGCGCGGCGGCGGCGGCGGCGCUCCGCUCCGCCCUCAGCGGCCGCGGCCCGGGGAGGGGCCAGA